CUCAUUCUCCAACCACGUCCCUUGAUUACUCUUAAUCCUUUGCAAUCGAAGUUUCUUCCUUCUCCCUUUCACAAUACUAUGGAAGAACCUAGUAUUUCUGUCACCAUUCUCAAACUAGUCAUAUCCUGCCUUCUGUUGCCAGAAAAUCUCUUCAAAAUGAAGAUAUCUUCUAUGUUCAGCUUGCGCUCUUUGCAGUACUUCUCUAUUUUCAGCUGUAGGCACCUCAUCAAACAACUUUUCUUUAAUCUUCACAAUAUCUUCUCUAAUUAUGAGUUGCUUAAAAAUAUCACCAUAAGUAUCUCUACUCCAUUUUGUCAAUGCUGAUUUUACCUUCUUGAUAUUCUCUUUGAAAUCUAGGAAAGGAUUCUGAGAGUCACCGGAGGACCAAUUUUGUCUAACAAUAUCCUUGAAAGAGUCAUUCUCAGUCCAGAAUUUAAGAAACCUAAAAGGUUUCCUAUGUCUGUCCUCAGUAACUUCACACUGUAACAACAUAGGAGCAUGAUCAGAGCCUGUUCUUGGUAAAUGUUCCACCUCUGUAUGAUUAAACCAGUCUUGCAUUUGUUGAUUGAUUAGAACUCUAUCUAAUUUUUCGAAGAUACAAUCAUUACCAGCCCUACCAUUCCACCAGGUGAACGGACUCCCUUUAAAUUGUACUUCUGUCAAAUCAGAAGAUGAUAUGCAAUUCCCAAGUCUUCACAAUCAACAUCAUUAACUGGUAAACCACCAAUCUUUUCUUCUGAAUUUAGUACCACAUUAAAAUCACCCCCAAUCAACUAAGGGUUAUCCAUUCCUGCUGCCAUUUCAUAUAUAUCAUCCCAAAGGAGUAGUCUUUGAUCAGAAUUGCACUUAGCAUACACUAGAGUAACAAAUAAGUUGUUUGUAAGACUAUGAUGCUUUAAUGUCAUGGUUAAUUGUUGAU
RNAcentral lists this long non-coding RNA (919 nucleotides) under Solanum tuberosum (potato). RNAcentral's name for it is "long non-coding RNA (STUB_LNC008879)". The record is from RNAcentral. Lineage: Eukaryota; Viridiplantae; Streptophyta; Magnoliopsida; Solanales; Solanaceae.